Oncorhynchus tshawytscha (Chinook salmon) is the source of this 351-nucleotide long non-coding RNA. Lineage: Eukaryota; Metazoa; Chordata; Actinopteri; Salmoniformes; Salmonidae. The record is from Ensembl.
GAUAUAUACAGGGGUACCGGUACAGAGUCAAUGUGGAGGCUAUAUACAGGGGGUACCGGUACAGAGUCAAUGUGGAGGCUAUAUACAGGGGGUACCGGUACAGAGUCAAUGUGGAGGAUAUAUACAGGGGGUACCGGUACAGAGUCAAUGUGGAGGCUAUAUACAGAGGGUACCAGUACAGAGUCAAUGUGGAGGCUAUAUACAGGGGGUACCGGUACAGAGUCAAUGUGGAGGCUAUAUACAGGGAGUACCGGUACAGAGUCAAUGUGGAGGCUAUAUACAGGGGGUACCGGUACAGAGUCAAUGUGGAGACUAUAUACAGGGGGUACCGGUACAGAGUCAAUGUGGAGG